AGCCGCGCAUCACCUCCCCAGCCGGGAGAGGGUCGCGGGGGCUGCUUUAGCCCGCGCGCACUCUCCCGGCUGGGAGGUGACGCGCGGCU
Molecule: microRNA precursor, 89 nt
Filed under: Podarcis lilfordi (Lilford's wall lizard)
Lineage: Eukaryota; Metazoa; Chordata; Lepidosauria; Squamata; Lacertidae
Source: RNAcentral